GCAUGCUUACAAUAUAGCAUUAAUGCAUUGGAUCCCAUUAGAACUCCGCAAUUAAGCAUGCUCAAGCUAGAGUAGUAUUGGGAUGGGUGACAGGCCGAGAAGUCCAAGUGUUUUACAUGCC
Molecule: non-coding RNA, 121 nt
Organism: Picea glauca (white spruce)
Lineage: Eukaryota; Viridiplantae; Streptophyta; Pinopsida; Pinales; Pinaceae
Source: Rfam